Regulatory RNA element from Astyanax mexicanus (Mexican tetra), 54 nucleotides. It matches the Rfam family "UnaL2 LINE 3' element". Rfam says of the family: The eel long interspersed element (LINE) UnaL2 and its partner short interspersed element (SINE) share a conserved 3' tail containing a stem-loop that is critical for their retrotransposition. Presumably, the first step of retrotransposition is the recognition of their 3' tails by UnaL2-encoded reverse transcriptase. The solution structure of a 17-nucleotide RNA derived from the 3' tail of UnaL2 was determined by NMR. The record is from Rfam. Lineage: Eukaryota; Metazoa; Chordata; Actinopteri; Characiformes; Acestrorhamphidae.
UAGAGACAAACUUGUAAGUCACUCUGGAUAAGAGUGUCAGCUAAAUGCCAUAAA